RNAcentral lists this ribosomal RNA (429 nucleotides) under Gemmatimonadota bacterium. RNAcentral's name for it is "Gemmatimonadetes bacterium partial 16S ribosomal RNA". It matches the Rfam family "Bacterial small subunit ribosomal RNA", at positions 355 to 776 of the family's 1533-position model. The record is from RNAcentral. Lineage: Bacteria; Pseudomonadati; Gemmatimonadota.
UAGGGAAUCUUCGGCAAUGGACGAAAGUCUGACCGAGCAACGCCGCGUGAGUGAAGAAGGUUUUCGGAUCGUAAAACUCUGUUGUUAGAGAAGAACAAGGACGUUAGUAACUGAACGUCCCCUGACGGUAUCUAACCAGAAAGCCACGGCUAACUACGUGCCAGCAGCCGCGGUAAUACGUAGGUGGCAAGCGUUGUCCGGAUUUAUUGGGCGUAAAGCGAGCGGAGGCGGUUACUUAAGUCUGAUGUGAAAGCCCCCGGCUCAACCGGGGAGGGUCAUUGGAAACUGGGAGACUUGAGUGCAGAAGAGGAGAGUGGAAUUCCAUGUGUAGCGGUGAAGUGCGUAGAUAUAUGGAGGAACACCAGUGGCGAAGGCGGCUCUCUGGUCUGUAACUGACGCUGAGGCUCGAAAGCGUGGGGAGCAAACAGG